This 919-nucleotide ribosomal RNA is filed under the name Serratia marcescens. RNAcentral's name for it is "bacterial SSU rRNA". It matches the Rfam family "Bacterial small subunit ribosomal RNA", at positions 8 to 916 of the family's 1533-position model. Lineage: Bacteria; Pseudomonadati; Pseudomonadota; Gammaproteobacteria; Enterobacterales; Yersiniaceae. The record is from RNAcentral.
AGAGUUUGAUCCUGGCUCAGAUUGAACGCUGGCGGCAGGCUUAACACAUGCAAGUCGAGCGGUAGCACAAGGGAGCUUGCUCCCUGGGUGACGAGCGGCGGACGGGUGAGUAAUGUCUGGGGAACUGCCUGAUGGAGGGGGAUAACUACUGGAAACGGUAGCUAAUACCGCAUAACGUCGCAAGACCAAAGAGGGGGACCUUCGGGCCUCUUGCCAUCAGAUGUGCCCAGAUGGGAUUAGCUAGUAGGUGGGGUAAUGGCUCACCUAGGCGACGAUCCCUAGCUGGUCUGAGAGGAUGACCAGCCACACUGGAGCUGAGACACGGUCCAGACUCCUACGGGAGGCAGCGGUGGGGAAUAUUGCACAAUGGGCGCAAGCCUGAUGCAGCCAUGCCGCGUGUGUGANGAAGGCCUUCGGGUUGUAAAGCACUUUCAGCGAGGAGGAAGGUGGUGAACUUAAUACGUUCAUCAAUUGACGUUACUCGCAGAAGAAGCACCGGCUAACUCCGUGCCAGCACCCGCGGUAAUACGGACGGUGCAAGCGUUAAUCGGAAUUACUGGGCGUAAAGCGCACGCAGGCGGUUUGUUAAGUCAGAUGUGAAAUCCCCGGGCUCAACCUGGGAACUGCAUUUGAAACUGGCAAGCUAGAGUCUCGUAGAGGGGGGUAGAAUUCCAGGUGUAGCGGUGAAAUGCGUAGAGAUCUGGAGGAAUACCGGUGGCGAAGGCGGCCCCCUGGACGAAGACUGACGCUCAGGUGCGAAAGCGUGGGGAGCAAACAGGAUUAGAUACCCUGGUAGUCCACGCUGUAAACGAUGUCGAUUUGGAGGUUGUGCCCUUGAGGCGUGGCUUCCGGAGCUAACGCGUUAAAUCGACCGCCUGGGGAGUACGGCCGCAAGGUUAAAACUCAAAGGAAUUGACGG